GAUGAACGCUCGCGGCAGGCCUAAUACAUGCAAGUCGAACGAGAUUAAGAGGCUUGCUUCUUAUGAAAGUGGCGCACGGGUGCGUAACGCGUAUGCAACCUACCUUAAUCAGGGGGAUAGCCCGAAGAAAUUCGGAUUAAGACCGCAUAAAAACACAGGAUAGCAUUAUCCAAUGUUCAAAUAUUUAUAGGAUUAAGAUGGGCAUGCGUGUCAUUAGCUAGUUGGCGGGGUAACGGCCCACCAAGGCGACGAUGACUAGGGGAUCUGAGAGGAUGACCCCCCGCACUGGUACUGAGACACGGACCAGACUCCUACGGGAGGCAGCAGUAAGGAAUAUUGGUCAAUGGAGGGAACUCUGAACCAGCCAUGCCGCGUGCAGGAAGACAGCCCUCUGGGUCGUAAACUGCUUUUAUUCGGGAAUAAACCUUUCUACGUGUAGGAAGCUGAAUGUACCGAAGGAAUAAGGAUCGGCUAACUCCGUG
RNAcentral lists this ribosomal RNA (482 nucleotides) under uncultured bacterium. Its description in RNAcentral is "partial 16S ribosomal RNA". It matches the Rfam family "Bacterial small subunit ribosomal RNA", at positions 28 to 507 of the family's 1533-position model. The record is from RNAcentral.